RNAcentral lists this non-coding RNA (106 nucleotides) under Aedes aegypti (yellow fever mosquito). Its description in RNAcentral is "Glycine sequence". It matches the Rfam family "Glycine riboswitch aptamer". From Rfam's summary of the family: This family represents the bacterial glycine riboswitch. Lineage: Eukaryota; Metazoa; Arthropoda; Insecta; Diptera; Culicidae. The record is from RNAcentral.
GGAAGAAUUUCUGGAGAAACUCCAAAAGACUUUCUAGAGGAACUCCGAAGGAAUAACUGGAGAAAAUCCUGAGGAAUUGCUCAAGGAACCAUGAAGAAAUCUGAGG